RNAcentral lists this unclassified non-coding RNA (253 nucleotides) under uncultured Planctomycetota bacterium. RNAcentral's name for it is "uncultured planctomycete contains 16S-23S intergenic spacer region". It matches the Rfam family "Bacterial small subunit ribosomal RNA", at positions 524 to 776 of the family's 1533-position model. Lineage: Bacteria; Pseudomonadati; Planctomycetota. The record is from RNAcentral.
UACAUGUGGGGCAAGCGUUGUUCGGAAUUACUGGGCAUAAAGGGUGCGUAGGUGGCGCUGUGCGUCUGUGGUGAAAGUCUUCGGCCCAACCGGAGAAUAGCCGCGGAUACGGCAGCGCUUGAGUGCAUUAGGGGUAGGGGGAACGAGCAGUGUAGCGGUGAAAUGCGUAGAUAUUGCUCGGAAGGCCAGUGCCGAAGGGGCCCUACUGGGAUGCAACUGACACUGAGGCACGAAAGCGUGGGGAGCAAACAGG